RNAcentral lists this ribosomal RNA (484 nucleotides) under uncultured bacterium. RNAcentral describes it as "partial 16S ribosomal RNA". It matches the Rfam family "Bacterial small subunit ribosomal RNA", at positions 29 to 507 of the family's 1533-position model. The record is from RNAcentral.
AUUGAACGCUGGCGGCAUGCUUUACACAUGCAAGUCGAACGGCAGCGCGGGCUUCGGCCUGGCGGCGAGUGGCGAACGGGUGAGUAAUACAUCGGAACGUGCCCAGUAGUGGGGGAUAGCUCGGCGAAAGCCGGAUUAAUACCGCAUACGACCUGAGGGUGAAAGCGGGGGAUCUUCGGACCUCGCGCUAUUGGAGCGGCCGAUGGCAGAUUAGCUAGUUGGUGGGGUAAAGGCCUACCAAGGCGACGAUCUGUAGCUGGUCUGAGAGGACGACCAGCCACACUGGGACUGAGACACGGCCCAGACUCCUACGGGAGGCAGCAGUGGGGAAGUUUGGACAAUGGGCGAAAGCCUGAUCCAGCAAUGCCGCGUGUGUGAUGAAGGCCUUCGGGUUGUAAAGCACUUUUGGCGGGAACGAAAAGGACUGUGCCAAUACCACGGUUCGAUGACGGUACCCGCAGAAUAAGCACCGGCUAACUACGUG